GUACCCGUCUUUAUCUCUCAACAAAUCGUCGUUAUGUUCGAGUCCUAGAUCUGUCUGGACCGCAAGGUUUCUUCAAAGACAUUACCGAUGGUAUACCAUUCCCAAUGCUUUCUGCGGAUAUGUCCUGCGAUUCUAGCAUUGCGGUUACAACAUCAGGGCAGGUUCUGUUGGUUGAGAGUGAUCCAUGCAAUAGGACCUGCUUCCGCCUCUACAAGAAGAAUCCUGAUAUUGAAAACCCUGAUCUCUUCGGCCACACGGUUACUGAGGUAGAUUCUCUUAAUGGUGAGGCCCUGCUUCUUGACUUGGGUUACACUGUGCCU
RNAcentral lists this long non-coding RNA (320 nucleotides) under Brassica rapa (field mustard). Its description in RNAcentral is "long non-coding RNA (BRAP_LNC000160)". Lineage: Eukaryota; Viridiplantae; Streptophyta; Magnoliopsida; Brassicales; Brassicaceae. The record is from RNAcentral.